This 301-nucleotide ribosomal RNA is filed under the name uncultured bacterium. RNAcentral's name for it is "partial 16S ribosomal RNA". It matches the Rfam family "Bacterial small subunit ribosomal RNA", at positions 509 to 807 of the family's 1533-position model. The record is from RNAcentral.
CAGCCGCCGCGGUAAUACGGAGGGGGCUAGCGUUGUUCGGAAUUACUGGGCGUAAAGCGCACGUAGGCGGCUUGGUAAGUUAGAGGUGAAAGCAUGGAGCUCAACUCCAGAAUUGCCUUUAAGACUGCCGAGCUAGCAGGUGAGAGAGGUAAGUGGAAUUCCGAGUGUAGAGGUGAAAUUCGUAGAUAUUCGGAAGAACACCAGUGGCGAAGGCGGCUUACUGGCUCAUACUGGACGCUGAGGUGCGAAAGUGUGGGGAGCAAACAGGAUUAGAUACCCGAGUAGUCCCUGUCUCUUAUAC